RNAcentral lists this ribosomal RNA (713 nucleotides) under uncultured Sutterella sp. RNAcentral describes it as "bacterial SSU rRNA". It matches the Rfam family "Bacterial small subunit ribosomal RNA", at positions 15 to 719 of the family's 1533-position model. Lineage: Bacteria; Pseudomonadati; Pseudomonadota; Betaproteobacteria; Burkholderiales; Sutterellaceae. The record is from RNAcentral.
GAUCCUGGCUCAGAUUGAACGCUGGCGGCAUGCUUUACACAUGCAAGUCGAACGGCAGCGCGGGGAGCUUGCUCCCUGGCGGCGAGUGGCGCACGGGUGAGUAAUACAUCGGAACGUGUCUUCUAGUGGGGGAUAACUGCCCGAAAGGGCAGCUAAUACCGCAUGAGACCUGAGGGUGAAAGCGGGGGAUCGCAAGACCUCGCGCUGGAAGAGCGGCCGAUGUCCGAUUAGCUAGUUGGUGAGGUAAAGGCUCACCAAGGCGACGAUCGGUAGCUGGUCUGAGAGGACGACCAGCCACACUGGGACUGAGACACGGCCCAGACUCCUACGGGAGGCAGCAGUGGGGAAUUUUGGACAAUGGGGGCAACCCUGAUCCAGCCAUGCCGCGUGCAGGAUGAAGGUCUUCGGAUUGUAAACUGCUUUUGUCAGGGACGAAAAGGGAUGCGAUAACACCGCAUUCCGCUGACGGUACCUGAAGAAUAAGCACCGGCUAACUACGUGCCAGCAGCCGCGGUAAUACGUAGGGUGCAAGCGUUAAUCGGAAUUACUGGGCGUAAAGCGUGCGCAGGCGGUUCUGUAAGAUAGAUGUGAAAUCCCCCGGGCUCAACCUGGGAAUUGCAUAUAUGACUGCAGGACUUGAGUUUGUCAGGGGAGGGUGGAAUUCCACGUGUACCAGUGAAAUGCGUAGAUUUUUGGAAGAACACCGUGGCCAA